AUGGAGGCAGCUAUUGAAACGGCGAGUUGGCUUCUCAGCAAGGCGCUCGCAAAGCUCUCGGACGAGCUGGUGGCCGCGUUCGUUGCCACCAGCUCCGAGCUCGGCCACAACUUCCAGAGCAUGAAGCACUGGCUGUGGCACACGCAAGGGCUGCUACACGCAGCCCGGAUCAGGGACAUGAGCAACAACCCUGGUCCUGGCCUGCAGGGCUUGCUCGCGGAGCUAAGCAAGAAGGCAGAUGAGGCCGAGGACUUGCUGGAUGAAAUCUGCUACUUCAUGAUCCAGGAUCAACUCGACCACACCAGCGAGGCCACCAUCCAGGACCCCGCCCCAAAUAUAGGCGAUCUCGUCCGUGGUCGUGCUCGUGAUGCUCACCAUGCUCUUCGCCACACCAUCGGUAACUGGCUUCCAUACUUUUCAAAUCCGGGUUCUGUCAACAGUAGUAGUAACACGUCCCGCAAAAAACAAAAAACAAAUAGUAGUAGUAACCCACAUCAUGCAACCAACUCUGGUGGCACUGAUGAUGCUUGCCCCAUCGACAGGCUAUCUUUCGACAGAGUAGACAUGUCCAACAGAAUCAAGUCCAUAAUUGAGGAAAUGAACUCUACAUGUGAACAUGUCUCCGACUUACUCAAAAUUGCAAACCAAAGUAGCACUGCAAUAACCACAACCCUCACCCUCAAAAGGCCAACCACGGGUUCAACAGUGGUGCAAGAUAAGUUGUUUGGGAGGGGUGACAUUUUUGAUAAAACUGUAACUGCUCUUACCGGUGGCACAUAUCACACUGAAACCCUCUCUAUUUUGCCUCUUGUUGGCCCUGGGGGUAUAGGAAAGACAACCUUCACCCAACACUUGUACAGUGAUGAAAAGAUCAUGAGGCACUUCACUGUCAAGGUAUGGGUAUGUGUCUCAACUGAUUUUGAUGUGCUUAACCUCACCCGGCAGAUCCUUAGAUGUGUACCUACAACAGAAAAAGAAGGAAACAAAAUUGUAAUCGAGACUGCCAAUUUAGACCAGCUUCAAAUAUCCAUUGCAGAGAGACUGAAGUCCACCAGGUUUUUAAUUGUCUUGGAUGAUAUUUGGAAAUGCAGCAGCGAAGGUGACUGGAAAAACCUAUUAGCUCCAUUCACUAAGGGGGAAACCAAGGGUAGCAUGAUUCUUGUCACAACCCGGUUUCCAUUAGUAGCACAUAUGGUGAAAACAACUGAUCCAAUAGAACUGCAUGGUUUGGAGCCUAAUGACUUCUUCACACUCUUUGAGUUUUCUAUAUUUGGUCAUAGCAAACCCCGGGAUUAUGAAGAUGACUUAAUUGGUGUUGCAAAAGAUAUUGCAAAAAGACUAAAGGGUUCACCACUAGCAGCCAAUACAAUCGGUCGGUUAUUGAGGAAAAACCUUUCUAAAGGAUAUUGGAAGGGAGUUCUUGAAAAAGAUGAGUGGCAACACAUGAAAAAUGAUGAUGAUAUUAUGCCAUCUCUUAAAAUUAGCUAUGAUUACCUUCCUUUCUAUCUAAAAAAAUGCUUUUCAUACCUUGCCCUCUUCCCUGAAGAUUAUAAGUUUUAUGAUAUAGAAAUUACUCGUUUUUGGAUUGCAGUAGGUAUCAUAAACUCUAGUUGCCAAAACGAUAAAAAUUACUUAGAAGAGCUAGUGGAUAAUGGUUUUCUCAUGAAGGGGUUUGAUGGGUUUGGUGAUCAAUGUUAUGUGAUGCAUGAUUUAUUCCAUGAACUGUCUCGGAAUGUUUCAUCACAAGAAUGUGUCAAUAUAAGUAGUUUAUGUUUUAGUGCCGAUAGCAUCCCAAAAUCUAUUCGGCACUUAUCAAUCACCAUAGAAGAUAUAUAUGGUGAAAGUUUUGAAGAAGAAAUGGGUAUACUAAAGAGAAGGGUAGACAUUGGAAAUUUGCGGACUUUGAUGAUUUUUGGGUUACAUAAUGCACGAGUAGAUAAUAUUUUCAAAAGUACAUUUGAAGAAAUAAAGAGUCUGAGAGUUCUGUUUAUAGGAAUGAACACUCCACAAUCUUUGCCAAAUGGAUUUUCCAAUCUUAUCCACCUCCAAUACCUUAAAAUUAGAUCACCUUAUAUAGAAGAAAUGACUUUACCUAGCUCAUUAUCUAGAUUUUACCACUUGAAAUUUUUGGACCUCGUAUAUUGGCAUGGAAGUAAAAAAUUGCCUAAAGACAUUAACCGCCUGGUGAAUCUACAACAUUUCCACUCAUCCAGAGAACUCCAUUCCAAUAUUCCUGAGGUUGGAAAGAUGAAGUGUUUACAGGAGCUAAAAGAAUUCUAUGUAAAGAAAGGGAGUGUUGGGUUUGAAUUGAGAGAGCUGGGGGAAUUGAGAGAGCUUGGAGGAAAACUCCGUAUAUGUAAUCUUGGAAUGAUUGCAUCCAAGGGAGAAGCUAGUGUUGCCAAACUGAAGAACAAAAGAAAUAUGAAAAAGUUGCGAUUAAUCUGGGGUCCACAACACCAGACUAUACAUGAUGAUGUUCUUGAUGGUCUUGAACCACACCCUAAUCUUUUGGUGCUUCAUAUAAUAAAUCCGGGUGUCGCCCCUUGUCCUAGCUGGCUGUGCGGCGAUAUUAGCACAAAAAGGUUAGAGUCUCUCCAUCUGGAGAAUGUAUCUUGGAGUACACUUCCACCUUUUGAGCAGCUACCACACCUCACCAAGCUCACUUUGAAGAAUAUAGCUAGCAUGCAUUCUUUUGGGCCUGGCAAUAAUGGUGUUACAGAGACAAGUUUCAUGCACCUGAAGACAAUUGUGUUUGAGGAUAUGCCAGUACUCGUGGAGUGGGUUGGCGAACCUAAUAGCCAUUUGUAUUCCAGGCUUGAAAGAAUCAAAUGUGCAGGUUGUCCCCUUCUCCGCUCAUUUCCGUUCUUGGAGUACUCAAGUCGGUUUACAAACCUGUGUGAACUUGUUAUUCAUAACUGCCCUGAGCUGUCCCAGUUUCCCUCCAUGCCUCACACCUCCACACUAACAUCUCUGAGUGUGAGGAAUGCUACCUCAAAGUUGUCAUACAAUGGAAAGGAAUUCACUAUCGGAGGGUAUAAUCAUGAUUUGUCCUUUGACAAUAUGGAUAAAGUAGAGGUUAUGGAAAUUAGGGAUGUAUCAGGCAUUUCGUUGUCAGACAUCCAACGCCUAAACUCCUUGAGAAGUCUGAGUGUUGAAAGAUGUGAAAACAUUUUCUCUGCGCAACUGGAUGACAAUGUCGCCCUCCAUUCAGUUCAGAGUCUUGAGCUAGAAGAAUUAAGUAUUACAGGAGAAGAGUUUUCAAAAGCCUUGAGGUCUUUUCCAGCUAUUUCCCAGCUUAGUAUCAACAAGUGCAAGAGCCUGGUUCUUCUGCCCUUGGAGGAUGGAGGAGGACUGUGGGACCUGGUGAUGCUCCAAUCGUUUUCUGCAUCAUACUGUCACAAGUUGUUCUGUCGGUGGCCCAUGGGAGAAGUAGGAGGAGCUCAGACCAUCAAGCCUUUUCCUCCUUCCCUCAGGAAACUGAAGAUUGUCGAAGAAUCAAGCAUAAAGUCAAUGGCCCUACUCUCAAACCUCACUUCUCUCACCUAUCUAGAGCUGGUAGAUUGUGAAGAAUUAACUAUGGAUGGGUUUAAUCCUCACAUCACAACCAACCUCAAGGAUUUGUCUAUCUAUGACAAACAAAGGAUCUCUGUAGGAGCGGAUGUGCUGUCAGAGGUGGCAAGGGAUGGACUGAUGCAUGCUGGUUCAUUCGAACUGGAAAAGCUUGCGGUGAACAGCAUCUCGGCGCUGCUUGGUUCUCCAGUUUGCAGCCACCUUGCCGCUACUCUCCACACAUUACAGUUUCGAUAUGAUCGGUGGGUAGAAACCUUCACGGAAGAGCAGGAGCAAGCCCUUCAGCUCCUCACCUCGCUCCAAGAUCUACAGUUUAGUGCUUGCAGUAGUUUGCAGUCCCUACCACAACAAUUGCGUGGCCUUUCUUCUCUCAGAACAUUAGUGAUCUUUGGGUGUGAAAAAAUCAGAUCGCUGCCGCCCAAGGAGAGCCUCAACGCUUCACUAAGUACAAUAAUCGUGGCAGAUUGCAGUCCCGAGUUAACUGAGAAUGCCAAGAAUUUGAAAAAAUCAGACACAUAUUCAGCAAAAAUAAUUGUGUGCCCAUGA
Molecule: ribosomal RNA, 4116 nt
Filed under: Triticum aestivum (bread wheat)
Lineage: Eukaryota; Viridiplantae; Streptophyta; Magnoliopsida; Poales; Poaceae
Description: partial small subunit ribosomal RNA
Source: RNAcentral